RNAcentral lists this unclassified non-coding RNA (199 nucleotides) under uncultured Tomentella. RNAcentral describes it as "sequence contains ITS1". Lineage: Eukaryota; Fungi; Basidiomycota; Agaricomycetes; Thelephorales; Thelephoraceae. The record is from RNAcentral.
CUGAAUUGUCAACAAGGGUUGUUGCUGGCCUCCAUACGGGGGCACGUGCACGCUCUGUUUACAUAUCCACUCACACCUGUGCACCCUCUGUAGUUCUAUGGCCUGGGGGGCUUUGUCCCCCUGCUGUGGUUCUAUGUCUUUACAUACACACCAAAAUGAAGUCCCAUGGAAUGUAUGCUGCGUUUAACGCAAUGAAAUA